UACGGAAGGCCCGAGCGUUAAUCGGAAUCACUGGGCUUAAAGCGUGCGCAGGCGGACCGGCAGGCAUCUUGUGAAAGCCCACGGCUCAACCGUGGAAUUGCGGGGUGAACCGCCGGUCUCGAGGCAGGUAGGGGUGAGUGGAACUAUGGGUGGAGCGGUGAAAUGCGUAGAUAUCCAUGGGAACGCCAAUGGCGAAGGCAACUCACUGGGCCUGUCCUGACGCUCAGGCACGAAAGCGUGGGGAGCGAACGGG
RNAcentral lists this unclassified non-coding RNA (253 nucleotides) under uncultured Phycisphaeraceae bacterium. RNAcentral describes it as "contains 16S-23S intergenic spacer region". It matches the Rfam family "Bacterial small subunit ribosomal RNA", at positions 524 to 776 of the family's 1533-position model. Lineage: Bacteria; Pseudomonadati; Planctomycetota; Phycisphaerae; Phycisphaerales; Phycisphaeraceae. The record is from RNAcentral.